GUGGGGAAUAUUGGACAAUGGGGGGAACCCUGAUCCAGCCAUGCCGCGUGUGUGAAGAAGGCCUUUUGGUUGUAAAGCACUUUAAGCGAGGAGGAGGCUACCGAGAUUAAUACUCUUGGAUAGUGGACGUUACUCGCAGAAUAAGCACCGGCUAACUCUGUGCCAGCAGCCGCGGUAAUACAGAGGGUGCAAGCGUUAAUCGGAUUUACUGGGCGUAAAGCGCGCGUAGGUGGCCAAUUAAGUCAAAUGUGAAAUCCCCGAGCUUAACUUGGGAAUUGCAUUCGAUACUGGUUGGCUUAGGUAUGUGAGAGGAUGGUAGAAUUCCAGGUGUAGCGGUUAAAUUCGUAGGUAUCAUCCAGAACACCGAUUGCGAAGGCAGGUGGCUGUACCUUAAUCGACGCUGAUGCACGAAAGCAUGGGGAGCAAACAGGAUUAGAAACCCGGGUAGUCC
This 451-nucleotide ribosomal RNA is filed under the name uncultured bacterium. RNAcentral's name for it is "partial 16S ribosomal RNA". It matches the Rfam family "Bacterial small subunit ribosomal RNA", at positions 354 to 796 of the family's 1533-position model. The record is from RNAcentral.